Non-coding RNA from Pelobates cultripes (western spadefoot toad), 325 nucleotides. Lineage: Eukaryota; Metazoa; Chordata; Amphibia; Anura; Pelobatidae. The record is from the annotation of a GenBank genome assembly.
GUUGAAAAAUAAAAGGUUGUCCUAGAGGCAUGAACAUUUAAAUUUCCCGGUUGCAUUGGCCAUGGCUGUUUCCUUUAUUGCUAUUGGCUGGCUGUGCAACCAAUCACAAUACAGCACUGAUCAAAUGUCAUUUGGUACUCUAAAGGGAUCUGCUUACUGAGUUUUGCAUAUAUAAUAACCAAUGUAUUUCAAACUUGAAGAAUGGGAACAAUCUAAUGUUACAUUUGAAGAAUAGGACAUCGAGCUAAUUCGAUGUAGACAAUCUGGGGGAACAUUUCAAAAAGUUAAGAACCCAUUCAACUAAUUUUUAAGAUUGAUGGCCAGG